GGUUGAUCCUGCCAGUUAUGACGAUUUAGUUUAAAGAUUAAGCCAUGCAUGUGUAAGUAUAAGCAUUUAUACUGCGAGACUGCGAAUGGCUCAUUAAAUCAGUUAUAGUUUAUUUGAUAUUUUUAUUUUUUUUACUACUUGGAUAACUGUAGUAAUUCUAGAGCUAAUACAUGCAAAAUUAUGACUCGACUUUUGUGGGAGAGUUUGUAUUUAUUAGAUGAAAAACCAAUUUCCUCUGUAAAAGGAGGAAAAACCUUGGUGAUUCAUAGUAACUUUUUUCUUUAUGAAAAUG
RNAcentral lists this ribosomal RNA (292 nucleotides) under uncultured eukaryote. RNAcentral describes it as "partial 18S ribosomal RNA". It matches the Rfam family "Eukaryotic small subunit ribosomal RNA", at positions 6 to 292 of the family's 1831-position model. The record is from RNAcentral.